CACUUUCAUGAACGUGUCAUGAACAUUAUAAACAAUUCAUAAACGUUGAUGACAUAAAGCUUCUUUUAGUAAGUUUGAACAAAGCUUUAUUUUA
This is a long non-coding RNA of Etheostoma spectabile (orangethroat darter), 94 nucleotides long. RefSeq lists it as uncharacterized. Lineage: Eukaryota; Metazoa; Chordata; Actinopteri; Perciformes; Percidae. The record is from RefSeq and is a predicted model, not a curated record. The transcript is spliced from 3 exons.